AGCCACCAGCGAGAUUCGAACUCAGCCCCUGGUUUACGAGACCAGUGCUCUAACCUCUGAGCUAUGGUGGC
This 71-nucleotide transfer RNA is filed under the name Araneus ventricosus. Its description in RNAcentral is "tRNA-Thr". Lineage: Eukaryota; Metazoa; Arthropoda; Arachnida; Araneae; Araneidae. The record is from RNAcentral.